Molecule: long non-coding RNA, 233 nt
Filed under: Carica papaya (papaya)
Lineage: Eukaryota; Viridiplantae; Streptophyta; Magnoliopsida; Brassicales; Caricaceae
Description: long non-coding RNA (CPAP_LNC004993)
Source: RNAcentral
UCAACAACUAUCCUAGACAUGUUAUCAGAUGGUUUUGUUUACGUCUUUUACUGAUCAUCACGUGAAACUGUUCCGAUAUAUAUCUAUUGAGGGCAAACGGGAUCCUUAACAACCACUUUGAAUGACAAUCAUAUUCAUUUUCUUCCAUUUCAUUUUCAUAUGGGGUAGGUAAACUAUGAACACAACUGUACUUCGCCACUAUGGCCCCUGCAUAUAAGGUAAACAAUGACCAC